AUGUCUGUCCCCAAAUGUCUGUCCCCUAGCAUUAACUCCCAGCCCCCAGCUCUCCUGCCCCAGGCUUGCCCCUCUCAAUAUUCUGCUGAGCACUUUGAAAACUCGCUGCAGAAACUUCCUGUGGUUCUUGGAGUGGUUCUGAACCUAAUUUUAGCUGGUUGGCAGCAGCGUGGUGAGAACCAAGAGCAGCCCCUGUGGAUGUCCCUCCUCAGAAACCCCCCCUGCCAUUCCCUGCACACAAACACCAUCAAGCAGUUCAAUCUUCACAGAAAUGAGGCCUCUAAAAGCCACAGCCCAAACGAAAGGAGAGCCAGGGCAAGGUCCCGAGUCAGUCUGGAGACUGCAGAGGCUGAGAGCUCCAUUUCCCACUUCAUUAACGAAAUGAUGGAGCAAGGAAUGGAGGAGUCAGCACCCAACCCUGAGAGAAACGGGACAGCAGCAAAAAGCAGCGGCCUCUGCGACUCCCAGAAGGGAAUUAACCUGCACAAAGGUGAUUGCUGAAGUUUUGAAAAGCCAGGUCAGCAGCAACCACAAAGCCCAGAGAGAACUGAGAUAUAUUUGGUGAAAAUUCAUCUUUUUCUUGUGUGUGUUUUUUGGUUUGUGUUAGGCUUUUGUGGUCAUUUUUUAUAAAAGGAUUUGAGUAGUAAGGUGAUGAUUCAGGUUUUAGCACAUGCUUUCCAGUUUCUCAAUACAAAAAUGUAAAAAGACAAGUCCAGCCAUGCCUUUGAGGGCCAGCACCCCCUGCCCAGCAGCCCCGUUUGGAUCAGGGACCAAGAGCCAACCUGCAGAGUUCUGCCAAUGCAAACAUCUGUGGGAAAUGUGGGAAACCCUCUGAGACCUCUGCAGGGGAAUGCUGCCUGGCAUCUUGGAACCAGCAAACCUUCAGCAGCCUCCCCUGAUGGCACAAACCUUGCUGAGGUCACACAAGACUCAAAAAAAUAAAACCCCAAGUGCAGAGGAGUUUUGUACA
Molecule: long non-coding RNA, 970 nt
Filed under: Parus major (Great Tit)
Lineage: Eukaryota; Metazoa; Chordata; Aves; Passeriformes; Paridae
Description: lncRNA (ENSPMJG00000001013.1)
Source: RNAcentral